CCAACAGGGAUUGCCUCAGUAACGGCGAGUGAAGCGGCAACAGCUCAAAUUUGAAAUCUGACUCUUUCAGGGUCCGAGUUGUAAUUUGUAGAGGAUGCUUCGGGUGCGGCGCCUGUCUAAGUUCCUUGGAACAGGACGUCAUAGAGGGUGAGAAUCCCGUAUGUGACCGGCGAUCAAGCCCAUGUGAAGCUCCUUCGACGAGUCGAGUUGUUUGGGAAUGCAGCUCUAAUUGGGUGGUAAAUUUCAUCUAAAGCUAAAUACUGGCCAGAGACCGAUAGCGCACAAGUAGAGUGAUCGAAAGAUGAAAAGCACUUUGGAAAGAGAGUUAAAAAGUACGUGAAAUUGUUGAAAGGGAAGCGCUUGCAACCAGACUUGCUCGUGGGUGAUCAGCCGCGGUUCUCCGCGGUGCACUCGCCCGUGAUCAGGCCAGCAUCGGUUUGGGCGGUUGGAUAAAGGCCCCGGGAAUGUAGCUCCCUCCGGGGAGUGUUAUAGCCCGGGGUGCAAUGCGGCCAGCCCGGACCGAGGACCGCGCUUCGGCUAGGAUGCUGGCGUAAUGGUUGUAAGCGACCCGUCUUGAAACA
Molecule: ribosomal RNA, 581 nt
Filed under: Xylopsora friesii
Lineage: Eukaryota; Fungi; Ascomycota; Lecanoromycetes; Umbilicariales; Umbilicariaceae
Description: eukaryotic LSU rRNA
Rfam family: Eukaryotic large subunit ribosomal RNA
Source: RNAcentral